AGUUCUGGAAGCAAGUUCCAGGAACGAAGUAUCCUCAACUCAAGAAGACUAGCAUACGACUCAUUUCAAUUUCUGGCACAACAUACUGCUGUGAAUCUCUGUACUGUACUCAUCAAAUCAAAACACUGUGUGGUCCUUACAAAUUAACAUCUGACCAAGCUCCUCUGUACAGCCUUGACAAUGUAUCAACCAGAUUUCCGAAGAUUUAUGACCCGGAUGGAGACCCACCAGGCCUCUAGCUCUAGCAGAAAUUAGCCAUGAUACAGACUGCUGCUGGUCCAGAACACACUUGUGAAAAUUGAUAGUCACAGUAUACAGGCCACAAGGAGUACAUUAGAGCAGUGUAAACUCCGCAGAGCUGGGGAACACUGUUAAGACAUGCAUUUGUAAUAAGGAGAGGAAACAACACCUUGAAAACUGUAAAAGGAACCAAAGGCAUUCAAGCUGACAUUAGAAAUGUGAGGAACACUUGACCCAGAGCCAAGAGGAAAUCUGUGUGUGGAGGCCUAACAGGCUCAGCUUCCACACAAUGAUCACUGAAAAGCAUGGGAUUCAUUUAGCCUGCCAAGUACUCCCUGCCUCGUGUUUGCAGUGCAAUUCUGGAGAAGCUUUGGAGACCUGAGUUUCUGAGAGCCUCUCUGUCAUGUGGAAUUACUGUGGUGGAGCUGGCCAGUUGGCAAGUAGGGUACAGAGAAAAAGGAACAUUCCAUGCAGCUGCCGUUUCCCUCCAGGCAGCUCCCCCCAACCACCUUUCCAGCUUGAUCAAGGUUUUGUUUCCCCCUGAGCUAUC
Molecule: long non-coding RNA, 790 nt
Organism: Mauremys reevesii (Reeves's turtle)
Lineage: Eukaryota; Metazoa; Chordata; Testudines; Geoemydidae
Exons: 5
Source: RefSeq, a predicted model, not a curated record